Molecule: ribosomal RNA, 241 nt
Filed under: uncultured soil bacterium
Lineage: Bacteria
Description: partial 16S ribosomal RNA
Rfam family: Bacterial small subunit ribosomal RNA
Source: RNAcentral
CGCCCGAUUAGUUAGUUGGUGAGGUAACGGGCUCACCAAGGCGAUGAUCGGUAGCUAGUCUGAGAGGAUGAUUAGCCACACGGGAACUGAGACACUGUCCCGACUCCUACGGGAGGCAGCAGUGGGGAAUCUUGCACAAUGGGGGAAACCCUGAUGCAGCGACGCCGCGUGAGCGAUGAAGCCCUUCGGGGUGUAAAGCUCUUUCGGCAGGGACGAUAAUGACGGUACCUGAAGAAGAAGC